RNAcentral lists this ribosomal RNA (632 nucleotides) under uncultured Bacteroidales bacterium. RNAcentral describes it as "bacterial SSU rRNA". It matches the Rfam family "Bacterial small subunit ribosomal RNA", at positions 86 to 715 of the family's 1533-position model. The record is from RNAcentral. Lineage: Bacteria; Pseudomonadati; Bacteroidota; Bacteroidia; Bacteroidales.
UGGUGGCGACCGGCGCACGGGUGAGUAACGCGUAUGCAACCUCACCUAUCAGAGGGGAAUAACCCGGCGAAAGUCGGACUAAUACCGCAUAAAACAGGGGCACCGCACGGUGAUAUUUGUUAAAGAAAUUCGCUGAUAGAUGGGCAUGCGUUCCAUUAGGUAGUUGGUGAGGUAACGGCUCACCAAGCCGACGAUGGAUAGGGGAACUGAGAGGUUGGUCCCCCACACUGGUACUGAGACACGGACCAGACUCCUACGGGAGGCAGCAGUGAGGAAUAUUGGUCAAUGGGCGAGAGCCUGAACCAGCCAAGUCGCGUGAAGGAAGAAGGAUCUAUGGUUCGUAAACUUCUUUUGCAGGGGAAUAAAGUGCAGGACGUGUCCUGUUUUGUAUGUACCCUGAGAAUAAGGAUCGGCUAACUCCGUGCCAGCAGCCGCGGUAAUACGGAGGAUCCGAGCGUUAUCCGGAUUUAUUGGGUUUAAAGGGUGCGUAGGUGGUUUGAUAAGUCAGCGGUGAAAGUUUGCAGCUUAACUGUAAAAAUGCCGUUGAAACUGUCGGACUUGAGUGUAAAUGAGGUAGGCGGAAUGCGUGGUGUAGCGGUGAAAUGCUUAGAUAUCACGAAGAACUCCGAUUG